CCAACAAAAACCUUAAUUGGAUUAAUUAUAUCUAUUACAACCAACAGCGCUUCGUGAACUACACCAGGGAUGCCCUCCAGGGCUUGGCCGAGCAAUUACAGGCCACAUCCCAAAUGACCUUCCAGAACAGACUGGCCUUAGACAUGAUCUUAUGACUUGUUGCACUUACAUUCCAGAAAACACAGGUCCUAAUGGUAAAGUCACUCUGGCCAUAGCUAAAUUAAAUAGACUCUCAGAAGAGUUAAAGAGAAACUCUGGUGUUACUGAUCCCUGGGAAAAAUGGUUUGGUUGGAUGACUGGUUGGCAGAGAGCUUUAGUCCAGAUUGGUAUUGCCUUACUAAUUUUUCUUUUUAUUCUCGCUCUUCUCAUUUGUUGUGUCCUCCCAUGCCUAAGGAAAUUCCUGCAGAAAACUGUAGACCAAGCAACACCAACCUUCACUCAUCUGACAAUCGAUGAUCAAGACCUCAAACUCUCCGCUACAAACUCUCCCUUAUACUGAUGAAGUGCAGAAAGUCUAGGAAGGGACAGUACAGGGACAGCGUCCGUCUUUAUGGG
Molecule: non-coding RNA, 555 nt
Organism: Pelobates cultripes (western spadefoot toad)
Lineage: Eukaryota; Metazoa; Chordata; Amphibia; Anura; Pelobatidae
Source: the annotation of a GenBank genome assembly